RNAcentral lists this ribosomal RNA (253 nucleotides) under uncultured Desulfovibrio sp. RNAcentral's name for it is "partial 16S ribosomal RNA". It matches the Rfam family "Bacterial small subunit ribosomal RNA", at positions 524 to 776 of the family's 1533-position model. Lineage: Bacteria; Pseudomonadati; Thermodesulfobacteriota; Desulfovibrionia; Desulfovibrionales; Desulfovibrionaceae. The record is from RNAcentral.
UACGGAGGGUGCAAGCGUUAAUCGGAAUCACUGGGCGUAAAGCGCGCGUAGGCCGUUUGGUAAGUCGGACGUGAAAGCCCUCGGCUCAACCGAGGAAUUGCGUUCGAAACUGCUGAACUUGAGUCCUGGAGAGGGUGGCGGAAUUCCGGGUGUAGGAGUGAAAUCCGUAGAUAUCCGGAGGAACACCGGUGGCGAAGGCGGCCACCUGGACAGGUACUGACGCUGAGGUGCGAAAGUGUGGGGAUCAAACAGG